GCGUUGUCCGGAAUUAUUGGGCGUAAAGAGCUCGUAGGCGGUGUGUUGCGUCGGCCGUGAAAACCUGCAGCUUAACUGUGGGCGUGCGGUCGAUACGGGCAUCACUGGAGUUCGGCAGGGGAGACUGGAAUUCCUGGUGUAGCGGUGAAAUGCGCAGAUAUCAGGAGGAACACCGGUGGCGAAGGCGGGUCUCUGGGCCGAUACUGACGCUGAGGAGCGAAAGCGU
RNAcentral lists this ribosomal RNA (226 nucleotides) under uncultured bacterium. RNAcentral's name for it is "partial 16S ribosomal RNA". It matches the Rfam family "Bacterial small subunit ribosomal RNA", at positions 538 to 762 of the family's 1533-position model. The record is from RNAcentral.